RNAcentral lists this long non-coding RNA (2433 nucleotides) under Brassica napus (rape). RNAcentral's name for it is "long non-coding RNA (BNAP_LNC014510)". The record is from RNAcentral. Lineage: Eukaryota; Viridiplantae; Streptophyta; Magnoliopsida; Brassicales; Brassicaceae.
GAUGAUAUCAUUAGUAGAGAGAAAGUAGAGAAGGCGGUGAGAGAGGUCUUGGUUGGGGUAGAGGCGGAGGAGAGGCGUAAACGGGCGAAGAAGCUGGCGGAGAUGGCUAAAGCUGCGGUGGAAGAAGGAGGGUCUUCUUUUAACGAUCUAAACAACUUCAUAAAAGAGUUCAGCUCAUGAUGAUUCUUCGUAUAGAGUUUUGGUUACAACUCUUAUAUUGGGAAUAAGACAAAACCUAAUGUAAUAUUCAAGGAAUAUAGGUUAAUCAAUCUUUCAUUUUCACUUGAGCGAGCUAGUAUGAAUUUGUAUCUAGAAGCGGCAGUCAAUAAUUUUCCCAACUGUUUGAUUCUAAGAGGCGCCAAAAAUUCUGGUACAUGUUUAAAUCACGUCUUAAUUACAUUUGUCAAAGAUCCACCAACGUUAAGACUUGAGAGAUUUCAUAAAAAAAAAACAAGAGUUAAAGACAGAUGUGCGUUUUGAGAAAGUGGUGACACAUGAUCUUGUCUUGUUACAUGCACAUGCAUGCGUAAGAUUUGACUUUUCUUUGUUGGUAUGGAACCGAAAGAGCAGUUAAACUUUAUGAUAUAGAUAUACAAAUAAUACUCUCUAAAUAGCAUCAACAUUAAUUAUUACAUAUUGAUAACCUAUUAGAAUAUUUUUUUUAUUAAGAUAUAAACUCAUAUUGACUGUUUUAACAAAAGCGACAGCAUAAUUUCAAGUUAUACAUUAUACUAGUCAAUUAAUUAAAAAAAUUACUCAAAAUAUCAACAUAAUUGUAGAUUUUGAAUUGAUUUUCACUGAGACUUGAUCUAAACUAGUGGAGCGUGCCGGAUGAUGGUCAAACGAAACUAAUUAAGAAACAAUUAGUUUGAGUUAUUUCAUAUGAAUCGGUAUAAAAUAUAUAAAUUAAAAAAAAAUUGGUUCCACGAUACCUUGAAAACAGAUACUAGAUUCCAAAAAACCCAAAAUCAGUGACGUAUGCAAAGACGUCAGGUUCAUUAAACCAAAACGUUUCUUGUAUGUUAUAUAAAUAGAGAGAUGCAUAACCAACUCUUCUACAAGCUUCAGAAUCUUUCAUCUCUCUCAAAUUUCUCGAAACAUAUCAUUUUUUUUCAGUCAAAGUCAAACAUGGCUAGUAACUCUCAUAAGCUCCAUGUUAUGUUCUUCCCUAUCAUGGCUCAUGGUCACAUGAUACCAACUCUAGACAUGGCUAAGCUAUUCUCCAGCAGAGGAGCCAAGUCCACUAUUCUAACCACACCUCUCAACGCCAAGAUCCUCCAGAAACCCAUCGACAUAUUCAAGAACCUCAAUCCGAGUCUCCAAAUCGAGAUCCAGAUUUUGGAUUUUCCUUGCGUCCAGCUCGGGUUACCAGAAGGAUGCGAAAACGCUGACUUCUUCACCUUAACCAACAACAUUGAUGAUAGACGCGCCAUGAUCUCCAAAUUCUUUUUGGCGACCAGGUUUUUCAAAGACCAGCUUGAGAAGCUCCUCGAGACCAGGAGACCAGACUGUCUUAUCGCCGACAUGUUCUUCCCGUGGGCUACUGAAGCUGCUGAGAAGUUCCAUGUGCCAAGACUUGUGUUCCACGGCACUGGCUACUUCUCUUUAUGCGCUAGUUAUUGCAUCAGAGUGCAUAACCCACAGAAGAGAGUAGCUACAAGUAGCGAGCCAUUUGUGAUCCCUGAUCUCCCAGGGAACAUUGUGAUAACUCGAGGACAGAUCUUAGACCGUGGUGAAGACACCGAGAUGGGGAAGUUUAUGACCGAGGUUUUAGAAUCAGAAGCGAAGAGCUCAGGUGUUGUUGUGAACAGCUUCUACGAGCUUGAACCUGACUAUGCUGAUUUUUACAAGAGUAGUGUAGCAAAGAGAGCGUGGCAUAUUGGUCCGCUCUCGGUUCACAACAGAGGAUUUGAGGAGAAGGCUGAGAGAGGAAAGAAAGCAAGCAUUGAUGAAGCUGAAUGCCUCAAGUGGCUUGACUCCAAGAAACCAGAUUCAGUCGUUUACAUUUCAUUUGGGAGCGUGGCUAACAUCAAGAACGAGCAGACGUGGGAGCCACAAAGCAUGUGAAAGCUAUGGAAGAUGAUAUCAUUAGUAGAGAGAAAGUAGAGAAGGCGGUGAGAGAGGUCUUGGUUGGGGUAGAGGCGGAGGAGAGGCGUAAACGGGCGAAGAAGCUGGCGGAGAUGGCUAAAGCUGCGGUGGAAGAAGGAGGGUCUUCUUUUAACGAUCUAAACAACUUCAUAAAAGAGUUCAGCUCAUGAUGAUUCUUCGUAUAGAGUUUUGGUUACAACUCUUAUAUUGGGAAUAAGACAAAACCUAAUGUAAUAUUCAAGGAAUAUAGGUUAAUCAAUCUUUCAUUUUCACUUGAGCGAGCUAGUAUGAAUUUGUAUCUAGAAGCGGCAGUCAAUAAUUUUCCCAACUGUUUGAUUCUAAGAG